Molecule: ribosomal RNA, 519 nt
Filed under: Triticum aestivum (bread wheat)
Lineage: Eukaryota; Viridiplantae; Streptophyta; Magnoliopsida; Poales; Poaceae
Description: partial small subunit ribosomal RNA
Source: RNAcentral
AUGGUGGACGGCGUCUCCGUCGUCAAGCAAGCUCAUGAUCUUACAUCUAUUGUGAGUGAGUUGGCUCAGUUUGAUGUGAACGUCAAUGCCAAGUUUGUGGUGGGGGGCAUCAUUGCCAAACUCCCUCCUUCAUGGAGAGAUUUUGCCACCACGCUUAAGCACAAGAGGGAGGCAAUGAGGGUUGAUGACCUGAUUGCUCACCUUGAUGUGGAAGAGAAGGCACGUGCUAAAGACACACCUUCCAUGGCAAAUGACGGCACCUCAAACGCCAACUUUGUGCAGAAAUCUGGUGCUAAGUACAAGGGGAAACAACAGAAUCCAAAGGCCAAGAAUACAACCAACUUUAAGAAGAAGAAGGAAGGCAUAAUCUGCUAUGUGUGUGGUGAGCCUGGCCACAAGGCCAAUAAAUGCCACAAUAGGAAGGGCAAGAAGGGUGGGCAGCAGAACGGACAGAACACUGUCAACGUGGUUGUUAGCGAGCCUAGUACUGCGGGGCUACAAGCGGUUCCCCCAUCUUGA